Molecule: ribosomal RNA, 350 nt
Filed under: uncultured Microgenomates group bacterium
Lineage: Bacteria
Description: bacterial SSU rRNA
Rfam family: Bacterial small subunit ribosomal RNA
Source: RNAcentral
UUCGAGGGUGUUACACAGCUGCUGCAUGGUUGUCGUCAGUUCGUGUCGUGAGGCGUCGGCUUAAGUGCCGUAACGAACGCAACCCCUGUGCUAUGUUAAAUAUCCAUAGCAGACUGCCUUGGAUUUUCCAAGGAGGAAGGAGGGGAUGACGUCAAAUCAGCAUGGCGCUUAUAUCUAGGGCUACACACAUGGCGUAAUGGGUGGGACAACGGGAUGCCAAGGCGCGAGCCGGAGCUAAUCCUUAUAAACCCAUCCUCAGUUUGGAUUGCAGGCUGCAAUUCGCCUGCAUGAAAGGGAGUUGAUAGUAAUCGCGGAUCAGCAACACCGCGGUGAAUACGUUCUCGUUUCUU